This is a non-coding RNA of Macaca mulatta (Rhesus monkey), 1917 nucleotides long. The record is from RefSeq and is a predicted model, not a curated record. NCBI's taxonomy places the organism in Eukaryota, Metazoa, Chordata, Mammalia, Primates, Cercopithecidae.
UAGAGGCUGAAAGUCCAAGAUCAAGGCACUGGCAGAUUGAGUGUCUGGAGAAGGCCACUUCCUCAUACAUGAUGAUCUUCUCACUUUAAUCUCACAUGGCAGAAAGGGCAAGGCAACUAACUCUCUGGGUCUCUUUCAUGAGGGCCUGAAUCCCAUUCAUGAAAGUGGGCCCCUCAUGACUUCAUCGUCUCCCAGAAGCCCUGUCUGCUAACACCACCACCUUGUUUCAGCAUAGGAAUUUUGCAGAAGUUGGAGGUGGGACACAAACAUUCAGACCACAGUAGUCUUAUCAGAAAAGAGAAACAGGUAAAUGCAAAUAAGAUGAUUUUGGGAAAGAAAGCUGAUUACUAGAAACCAGCAAGAUUAUCCAGCGAAUGAUGAUUGAAAUCCCAGAUUGUCAGGCUGUGAACCAGUCAGAGCUGAAGGCACCUGCUCCAUCCUGGGAUGGACUGUGGCCAGAAUUCAAACUCAAGGUCUGGGUACUACUGUCUUUCCCCAUAACUUGAAACCACGAGGUGCCUGCAGUUGACCACUCCCUGAAGACCUAGCUUCAAACCUCAGACAGCUUAGUGUCUAACUCUGGUAGUAAACAUGUUCUCCAUUUACAACCACUCUCAUGCCUACACUAUAAAAAGAUAGAGUAGCUGAUGGGGAGAGGACGUCUUCCCCUGGGCACAGCAUCUCGGUCAUUUAGCCCUCUGGACCCUGCACACCUCACUGAGGAAUGAUGACAGAAGGGGAGAUCUUGUGCCUUCUCUUGUUGAUCUUUGGUGUGGACAUUCCCCAAUAAAGUCUGUUCCUUAUAGCCAUACCUCCUGACAUUUGGUUAACGUCACCUGCAUUUUCACCUUUAGUCCCCAGUACGGGACAAAUUCUGUUCAUUCUAGUUAAGGCUUCUGGAAUGGCCCAGCCCAGGGUAGGAGAUCACUCCUUGCGUGCAGCAGGGGCGGGUCACCUGGCUGAAUGCGAUUGUGGUGCCUACAUCACAGACCACAGGAGCCCUUGGCAUCGGUUUCCAUAGGAAUGGGAGACAGAGGGAGAUAAGACUGCCUAGGAUUCAACCCCUUAGCCUUUCCUCAGGAAUCUACAGUUCUUUUAACAGUCUCUACACUUCCUGAAAUUCUCAAUUAGGCCAAGUCCUCUUUAUGAAUUGGAGCAGCUUUCCAUCCCCUCUCUGAGGAGGUGUUGGUCUCUAAUAAACAUCUUGCACCUGUAACUCCACUUCAGCAUCUGCUCCCGGAGAGCCCAGCUGCAACACCAACUUCGUCCCAAUACUGGCUGUGCUUUCCUGGCUGCCCUACAACAUGCUAAUCUUGCCCGACAGUCUAGACAGUCCUGCCACUUUCUUGGCAACUCAAUGUACUCUGCUGUGACACUCACCUUGAGGAUUCCCGGGGCAGAUCCCAAGAUACAGGGAUACCAAAAAGUAUUUUCAAACCAGUAGGCUUGCAAGCAUUGUUCUAAUACUGAAAGAUUCAUAGUGACCUAUAUUUAUUGGACAUUUAUCAUGUGGCAGGCACUGUUUAAUGUGAAUUAAUCACAACCGUAUUGUCCAUACUAUUAAAGUUUUUUAGGUGAGGAAACUGAGGCAUGCUUCAGUCACCAGUUGGUGAGUUGGUGGAGUUGGGAUUUAAAUUUAGGCAUCUUCACAGUCCACGUGUCUUACUCAAUUUUCUCUUCCUCAAAUUGAGCUUAAAUUCAAGUUUCUUAUAGUUCUGGAGGCUGAGAAGUCCAAGGUCAAGGAGCCAUAUCUGUUCCCAGGUGAUGCUGACACUGCUGUUUCAAGGACAACAUUUUGGGAACCACUUUACGUGAUACAGCCUCUCAAGUACAAUUUCAACUGACAUCAUGUGAAAAUGCAUUAUCGUUUUCCUCAUGAUAAAUAAGAGUUUCCAAGUGCAAUAAAUUUGGAAACCA